GAUGAACGCUAGCGGCAGGCUUAAUACAUGCAAGUCGUGGGGCAGCGCAGUGUAGCAAUACAUGGGCGGCGACCGGCAAACGGGUGCGGAACACGUACGCAACCUUCCUUUAAGUGGGGGAUAGCCCAGGGAAACUUGGAUUAAUACCCCGUAAUACUAUGAAGUGGCAUCACUUUAUAAUUAUAGCUCCGGCGCUUAAAGAUGGGCGUGCGCCUGAUUAGGUAGUUGGCGGGGUAACGGGCCCACCCAAGCCUUCGAUCAGUAACUGGUGUGAGAGCACGACCAGUCACACGGGCACUGAGACACGGGCCCGACUCCUACGGGAGGCAGCAGUAAGGAAUAUUGGUCAAUGGACGCAAGUCUGAACCAGCCAUGCCGCGUGGAGGAUGAAGGUCCUCUGGAUUGUAAACUUCUUUUAUUUGGGAAGAAACCCACGAUUUCUAUUGUGGUUGACGGUACCAGAUGAAUAAGCACCGGCUAACUCCGUGCCAGCAGCCG
This 498-nucleotide ribosomal RNA is filed under the name uncultured bacterium. Its description in RNAcentral is "bacterial SSU rRNA". It matches the Rfam family "Bacterial small subunit ribosomal RNA", at positions 28 to 517 of the family's 1533-position model. The record is from RNAcentral.